AGAGCGAACGCUGGCGGCAGGCCUAACACAUGCAAGUCGAGCGCCCCGCAAGGGGAGCGGCAGACGGGAGAGUAACACGUGGGAACGUACCCUUUGGUUCGGAACAACACAGGGAAACUUGUGCUAAUACCGGAUAAGCCCUUACGGGGAAAGAUUUAUUGCCAAAGGAUCGGCCCGCGUCUGAUUAGCUUGUUGGUGAGGUAACGGCUCACCAAGGCUACGAUCAGUAGCUGGUCUGAGAGGAUGAUCAGCCUCACUGGGACUGAGACACGGCCCAGACUCCUACGGGAGGCAGCAGUGGGGAAUAUUGGACAAUGGGCGCAAGCCUGAUCCAGCCAUGCCGCGUGGAUGAUGAAGGCCCUAGGGUUGUAAAGUCCUUUCGACGGGGAAGAUAAUGACGGUACCCGUAGAAGAAGCCCCGGCUAACGUUCGUGCCCAGCAGCCGC
RNAcentral lists this ribosomal RNA (446 nucleotides) under uncultured bacterium. Its description in RNAcentral is "SSU rRNA". It matches the Rfam family "Bacterial small subunit ribosomal RNA", at positions 26 to 518 of the family's 1533-position model. The record is from RNAcentral.